This 253-nucleotide ribosomal RNA is filed under the name uncultured bacterium. Its description in RNAcentral is "partial 16S ribosomal RNA". It matches the Rfam family "Bacterial small subunit ribosomal RNA", at positions 524 to 776 of the family's 1533-position model. The record is from RNAcentral.
UACGAAGGGGGCUAGCGUUGUUCGGAUUUACUGGGCGUAAAGCGCACGUAGGCGGAUCUUUAAGUCAGAGGUGAAAUCCCAAGGCUCAACCUUGGAACUGCCUUUGAUACUGGGGACCUUGAGUCCGGGAGAGGUGAGUGGAACUGCGAGUGUAGAGGUGAAAUUCGUAGAUAUUCGCAAGAACACCAGUGGCGAAGGCGGCUCACUGGCCCGGUACUGACGCUGAGGUGCGAAAGCGUGGGGAGCAAACAGG